Musa acuminata subsp. malaccensis (wild Malaysian banana) is the source of this 4321-nucleotide non-coding RNA. The record is from RefSeq and is a predicted model, not a curated record. Lineage: Eukaryota; Viridiplantae; Streptophyta; Magnoliopsida; Zingiberales; Musaceae.
UAAAGGAAGGCGGAGAUGAGCGAGCGGAGGCAAACCGAGAGAUCUCAUCAACAGCUCUGUUGCUUUCUUGGUUUCCGGAAGCUUCUCCUCUCUCUCGGUCUCUCCGCUCCAUCUUUCUUCGGCUUCUCUCUUGGUUUCGAUCGGUGAUUUCUCAUCUUUGUUGUCUUCUUUUUGGGGAUUGGGUGGUUGAGAUCUGGAAGUUCUGCGUGUUCGGUUGGAUCCCGUAAGGGUUUUCGUUCUUGAACCGGUUUGCUUGAUCUUAGGGUGUACGGGUUGUUGAUCUUUGGAAUUUGAUCGAACGCUCUCUCUUGUCUCUUUGUUAAUUUUGGGUCUCGGAUUCUUGUUUCUUUAUCUUCCUUUUCCGGAUUCCAUUUCAUGAGGAAUCUUUUUUGGUGGUUUGAGGGUUUCCAAAGAAUCUUGGGUCGAUGGAACUCCAAGUUUACAGAUCGCAUGCGUUAAGACUGUGGAUUAUGAUGAGAUUUGUGGGUUCCAGCGUUCUUGCGUGGGCGUCGUUGGUUGACAACGAGAGAGAGCACGCCGGUUCGCAAGCUAUGGCGGCGGCCAUGGUUGUGCACUAGCGUGCUCCUUCUCGUUGUCACACACGGUCGCCUCACAAGGCAGCUUCUCCUGCUCGCCCUCUUUUUCUUCCUUGGUACGUUUUGAUCGAUUCACGCUUAAUUCUUUAGCUCCCUCUUAUUCAUGUUGUUGUUCGUUUUCUUCAGUUAUGUUUGUGUUAAGAAUUAGGCAAACUCAUCAAAAUAACGACAAAGAAUAGGGCCAUCUUACGUGCUGGUUUUAUCUCCUGGAGAUCAGUCUUGUUAGUGAUAGUUUACUCGUUCGCUCUAAUACGUAUUGUUCUUCCGUUGAGUUUGUAUUGUGGUGUCUUAGGCUAAGGAAUGUCUGAGUUAGGUAAACAGUGCAAAUUAUUGUCAUCAUAUCUAGUUGAUAUUUCAUGAAUGACAUGUAACUUUAGAAGAUUCGGUGGUAAGUAUGGAACAAAAAAGAUUUGUUUCAUUACAGAUAUUUACAUUCUGGUAUUAGUCCUCUGCGCUUAGUCUUGUUGGUGGCGGUAUGGUUUCCUUAAUGAUGCAUUUGUUCUUCGAUUGUGAUAGACAGAACCAAGAACUGAUAUCUUGUAUUACUAGUUAUGAAUAUUCUUAUUCACAGUAUAAGAUAUUUUGAAGAAAGAAAGCUGGCAAAGGUUUAAGGUUGUCUAUUAUGAAUUUCUGCCUUUGGUUAUAAAUUGGAGAGCCACAAUUGAUAUGUUUAUGCUACCUCGGGAAUACUGGGAUGCUGUUUUCUACUAGGUUGGAUGGUGGUUAUUGUCUUAGUCAUGUUAUCAAACUACAUUAUCAUAAAAUUAAAAAGAUUCAAGUCCAUUUGCAGAAAGCACCAACAGUGAUGCUUAUAUUGAGCGAGGAAAACCCAGAUCCAUCUAUUUUUUUUGUUUGUCUAUAUAAAGAGAUUAUGCAUACUUUUGUAUGGACAUAUCGAGGGAAGGAAGGAAGGAAUAAGAGAGCGGCAAGACAUAUUUUGUUGAACUUCAACACAAAGUUUCAAACCCAAUCAUCCCAAUCAGCAGCGCAAAAGGUCUACCUGGCGCAGAUAUAUAUUUUAGCAGCUUUGAACGUUGUUUUUGUUCAUAUUAUCAUCCUUGCUACAAGUUUUGACUUAACCAUUCCUGAAGUCAAGGAUUUUGCUUAUUGUUAUAGUCUUUACUAAUCUAUUUUUUACUUUCAUAACCUUUUCAUUGAAUUUGACAAUUGUAAUUAAAUAAUUAGCUUUGUUCAAUUUGCAAAAUACACACAUGACAAACAAAUACAGGAAAUGCCUAACAAAUGGAUUGUUUACAGAUUAUAUAACAUUACAAGUCUCAAGGAUUAAUGUGCAAGUACAUGUUUUUCAAAUGCAUAACCAUUUUGAUUGUGUUGUUUCUUCUUUGAUGUAUUUACCUAUGUAUGCUUUGACCUUGGAUCUUGCUUAUUUGGAUAUCUUGGAUAGUAACUUAAGAUUACAGUACCAAAAGCCAAAAACCCAACUGUUCAACGUAGACAUUAUUGUCACAGAAAAGAAAUUUUGGAUCAUAGGAAUUAUCUAACUGUUCAACGUAGACAUUAUUGUCUAAUAACUAAUCUAAUGGUGCAUUGUAGGUUUUUCCCUCCUUUUAUGAAACAAAUAACUUUUGCGGGUUUUUACAUCUCCAAUAGUUGAAUAACAUCUUAAACUGAGUUAUCAAAUGGCAAGGCUGCCAACUGUCCUUGGAGAUAAUGAUAUUCUUUGAUGUGAGAUUGAAACUCUGAGAUAAGAUGAGUUCGAGGGUGAUGAGGCGGCUAAGAAGCUAUUAACAUGGACCUUAACAUGUUGGUGAAAUGGUCACUGUUGUCACUACAUCCCAAAUAAUGGUUGGUGAGAAGGGAAAGGUCUAUGAUGAUCAAUUGGAGCAGGGAUGCGACCUUGCUAAUAUUGUUGCCGUGGUUAGAAGUUGACCUGCCUCUGCCAUAAUGCACAUUGUGUGCAUGUGGUGGUCAUUGUUGAUGACGAUAUAAUUGAGAACGAGCUAGAACACUAGACUAGGUCACCUAGGUUCAGUUCACGACCUUUAUGUAUAUGUCUGAUUGAGCUUUUAUUCAUAAGAAUUGUCAGUCUAGGACUGAUUCCUUGUGUGCUGGCUCACAUUUACCUCCUUACUGUCACUGAUUUUGCUUUUCCAGACAAAAUUGCCUACGUAAAUGAUUUGCAAUAGCUAGGUAUCGUGCGUUUUAUAAUUUUGACUUAAUUUUUUUAUUUCAACUAUAUUGCAAAUUUUGGUAAUCCUGUUAUACCAAUCUAGUGUUUCCCACUGCCAUAACUGCUGCUGAUAUUGAUGUUAGGCAUAUGAAUCUUAGUUUUAAUCAUCUUUAUUAAAGGCAUGAUGAUGAAAUAAAUGCAUAGGUAGGCAAUGAGUUAUCUAGGCCAAAUGUCCUAAACAAACUCAGUGAUCACAUAGUUCAUUUUAAAAGUUGAAUACAAAAGACUUAACAAUACCUUUUUUUUUUGUAAUCCAGAUUGUUGAAGUCGUGUUAAGAUUCCUUCCUAAACUUGAAGAAUGGCUGAUUCGAUGUAUCCGCAUUAUGUAAAUACAUUGUGUAAAGAAUAACAAAAGAGUCCCCAUAAAAAAUGCUUCAAAAACAGAAGAUUAAAAGAGGUUUAGAUUCAGACUCGUGGCUUAUCCUGGAUUCAGCUAGACCUAACUUUGACCCAAUCCUUUGAUCUUUACUUGCACAGUGAUGUGAAAAGAGAUCCAUAGUAGUUGCAAACGAAGGUUUAAUUUUGUUGUUCAACAUGAAACAAGUAAGGCCAUUAUGUGUAGGUGCAAAUGUGUAUUUUAUUAUAUAGGUUAUAAAAACGUGGAGUUUAUGUUAACAGACUAUCUGUGAAGUUCACUUCUUGCUAUAAGUGCACGUUGUUGAAUUUUGAGGUAGAGGUAUCAUUGCUGAUAAUUGAGAAGAUUAAGAUCGCCAUAGACGAUUAAUGGAGUAGGUCUAGUUGGAUCAUGUAUAGGAUUCGGAUUGUAAUAUUCUUUUUGAUUCCUGGAAAAACCUGAAUAUUUACAAAGUCAGGAGAAAGUAGGGAACACGAACUGGUUUUAGAAUUUAGAUGAUUGGAAUGAAAACCAUAAAAAAAGGGAAAAAAAUUUAAAUGGAAGUUUGAAAGAUGGCCUUGAUGCUUGUAAAUAUAUUAUUUCUCACUUUAGUUUCUCGACUCAUUUUGUUAUUGACCAAAAGGCAUAAUAUAUUGUUAGUAUCGAGUUAGAAUUAUAGCAAAGCCUUUUUGACCAAUAAUCAUCCUCAAAUACCUUGGUUCCAUUUUAGGUUGUGAAUAUGGCUUUAGAGAUAUUUAAGAGUUUUUUUUUUGGCAGUUAGAAUUUCAAAAUGUGAUGAUUUAUGAUUUAUAUUGAAGUGCAUUGCUUUAAUGUCUGGGAAUGAUGCUGCUAGCAAAUACUUGAAUCUAGGUAUUGCAGGACAUCUGGAGCUUCAAAUAAUGAAAGGACAAAGGAAUCAUUUAAUUCUUAACCAAAGUCCAGGAUGUCGGAAGUUCAAACGUGCAAAAUUUUACUAUUUGGCAGGGUUCGUCAGACAAGUUCCAAAAGAUCGGGGAAGUAUUUUUAAUGUUUUCUUAUAGCACUUGAUAACUUUAAAUCAUAGCUUGUUCAGGCCUAACUUAUUAUUGUUUCUCAUGGAAGGAAGCCUGGUUUCAUUUUUUCUGAAAUGCAGCUGGAGAUUUGAACAAUGGUUUUACUUUGUUUGAUUUUUCUUGUAAUAAAUGAAUUUUGUUAUUCUCA